CGCACGAGCGCACCCUNGUCCUUAGNUUGCCAGCAUUCAGUUGGGCACUCUAAGGAGACUGCCGGUGACAAACCGGAGGAAGGUGGGGACGACGCUCAAGUCAUCAUGGCCCUUACGUGUAGGGCUACACACGUGCUACAAUGGCAUUUACAGAGGGAAGCGAGACAGUGAUGUGGAGCGGACCCCUUAAAGAAUGUCGUAGUCCGGAUUGGAGUCUGCAACUCGACUCCAUGAAGUCGGAAUCGCUAGUAAUCGCAAGUCAGAAUAUUGCGGUGAAUACGUUCCCGGGCCUUGUACACACCGCCCGUCACACCAUGGGAGUGGGAUGCAAAAGAAGUAGUUAGUUUAACCUUCGGGAGAACGAUUACCACUUUGUGUUUCAUGACUGGGGUGAAGUCGUAACAAGGUAACCCUAGGGGAACCUGGGGUUGGAUCACCUCCUU
This 443-nucleotide ribosomal RNA is filed under the name uncultured Alteromonadaceae bacterium. RNAcentral's name for it is "bacterial SSU rRNA". It matches the Rfam family "Bacterial small subunit ribosomal RNA", at positions 1088 to 1532 of the family's 1533-position model. The record is from RNAcentral. Lineage: Bacteria; Pseudomonadati; Pseudomonadota; Gammaproteobacteria; Alteromonadales; Alteromonadaceae.